UCCGAGUUGACCCCGGCAGUCUCCUAUGAGUCCCCACCAUGAUGUGCUGGCAACAUAGAACGAGGGUUGCGCUCGUUGCGGGACUUAACCCAACAUCUCACGACACGAGCUGACGACAACCAUGCACCACCUGUACACCGCCCUUGCGGACCCCGUAUCUCUACGAGUUUUCGGUGUAUGUCAAGCCUUGGUAAGGUUCUUCGCGUUGCGUCGAAUUAAGCCACAUACUCCGCUGCUUGUGCGGGCCCCCGUCAAUUCCUUUGAGUUUCAGCCUUGCGGCCGUACUCCCCAGGCGGGGCACUUAAUGCGUUAGCGCCGGGUACACAUCGUUUACGGCGUGGACUAC
This 346-nucleotide unclassified non-coding RNA is filed under the name uncultured Frankiales bacterium. Its description in RNAcentral is "contains 16S-23S intergenic spacer region". Lineage: Bacteria; Bacillati; Actinomycetota; Actinomycetes; Frankiales. The record is from RNAcentral.